GUUUCUCCCCACCAUUUUAUGGGAUCACUGGAUUGCGGGGAUGAGUAAGAAGGAAGGAGGAAAAUGUUUACUGAUCUCCAGGGAAUUCUUGAAGAGAACUUUUCAGUGGAAAGCAAAGGAAGUGUAGAAAUGGGUAUGGGAGAGGAGUAAAACAGACUACUUCUUUGCAAUUAGUUAUUAAGAGAAACAAUGAAGAGGCAAGGAAGAGGAGAGAAGAAUACAGAGAGUAGCAACCUCUCCAGCAAGGAAUAAAACUGAUCCAAAAGGAAAGACGUGAGCAACCCUAACUGGGCAAUUUGGGAUACCUGACCGCAGUAUAUCCACUUCUUAAUGGAGGUUGUUACAGAACAGUGAGAUUUUCUCC
Long non-coding RNA from Pristis pectinata (smalltooth sawfish), 364 nucleotides. RefSeq lists it as uncharacterized. NCBI's taxonomy places the organism in Eukaryota, Metazoa, Chordata, Chondrichthyes, Rhinopristiformes, Pristidae. The record is from RefSeq and is a predicted model, not a curated record. The transcript has 3 exons.